GGAGCAAGAAAAGUAUUUUUUUAGCACUAAGGAAGUGAAGUAUCCAAAUGGGAAUAGGUCAAAUAGAGCAACAAAUUCAGGAUAUUGGAAGGCUACUGGAAUUGACAAGCAAAUCAUAUUAAGGGGACGACAACAACAACAACAAUUGAUAGGAUUGAAGAAAACACUUGUCUUCUAUAGAGGAAAAUCUCCACAUGGCUGUAGGACCAAUUGGAUUAUGCACGAAUAUCGUCUUGCCAAUCUCGAAUCUAACUAUCAUCCAAUUCAGGGAAAUUGGGUUAUCUGUCGAAUUUUCUUGAAAAAAAGAGGCAAUACUAAAAAUAAGGAGGAAAACAUGACAACACAUGAUGAGGUUAGAAACAGAGAAAUUGAUAAAAACUCGCCCGUUGUUUCAGUCAAAAUGAGUUCUCGAGAUUCUGAGGCAUUGGCUUCCGCGAAUAGUGAACUGAAGAAGAAGGCAUCCAUAAUAUUUUACGAUUUUAUGGGGAGGAAUAAUUCGAAUGGAGUUGCAGCUUCAACGUCAAGUAGUGGAAUCACUGAUUUGACUACUACUAAUGAAGAAUCUGAUGAUCAUGAAGAAAGUACUCCCACCAAGGCCUUCUGUUGAUAAGCAUACAUAUUCAUCUUCUUUUUUCACGUUCACAACAGAUCCAAAGCCUGGUGGGCUAACAAGUGGAUGCCUGUGGAGGGGAGAGAGAGAGAUUUGUGGGGAGAGUGAGGCGGAGAGAAAAAGAGAGGACCUUUCCCUAGUACGA
RNAcentral lists this unclassified non-coding RNA (755 nucleotides) under Hevea brasiliensis (rubber tree). The record is from RNAcentral. Lineage: Eukaryota; Viridiplantae; Streptophyta; Magnoliopsida; Malpighiales; Euphorbiaceae.